AGUGAACGCUGGCGGUAGGCCUAACACAUGCAAGUCGAACGGCAGCACAGUAAGAGCUUGCUCUUACGGGUGGCGAGUGGCGGACGGGUGAGGAAUACAUCGGAAUCUACUUUUUCGUGGGGGAUAACGUAGGGAAACUUACGCUAAUACCGCAUACGACCUACGGGUGAAAGCAGGGGAUCUUCGGACCUUGCGCGAUUGAAUGAGCCGAUGUCGGAUUAUCUAGUUGGCGGGGUAAAGGCCCACCAAGGCGACGAUCCGUAGCUGGUCUGAGAGGAUGAUCAGCCACACUGGAACUGAGACACGGUCCAGACUCCUACGGGAGGCAGCAGUGGGGAAUAUUGGACAAUGGGCGCAAGCCUGAUCCAGCCAUACCGCGUGGGUGAAGGAGGCCUUCGGGUUGUAAAGCCCUUUUGUUGGGAAAGAAAAGCAGCAGGUUAAUACCCCGCUGUUCUGACGGUACCCAAAGAAUAAGCACCGGCUAACUUCGUG
RNAcentral lists this ribosomal RNA (492 nucleotides) under uncultured bacterium. RNAcentral's name for it is "partial 16S ribosomal RNA". It matches the Rfam family "Bacterial small subunit ribosomal RNA", at positions 29 to 507 of the family's 1533-position model. The record is from RNAcentral.